RNAcentral lists this ribosomal RNA (2904 nucleotides) under Escherichia coli. RNAcentral describes it as "23S ribosomal RNA". It matches the Rfam family "Bacterial large subunit ribosomal RNA". The record is from RNAcentral. Lineage: Bacteria; Pseudomonadati; Pseudomonadota; Gammaproteobacteria; Enterobacterales; Enterobacteriaceae.
GGUUAAGCGACUAAGCGUACACGGUGGAUGCCCUGGCAGUCAGAGGCGAUGAAGGACGUGCUAAUCUGCGAUAAGCGUCGGUAAGGUGAUAUGAACCGUUAUAACCGGCGAUUUCCGAAUGGGGAAACCCAGUGUGAUUCGUCACACUAUCAUUAACUGAAUCCAUAGGUUAAUGAGGCGAACCGGGGGAACUGAAACAUCUAAGUACCCCGAGGAAAAGAAAUCAACCGAGAUUCCCCCAGUAGCGGCGAGCGAACGGGGAGCAGCCCAGAGCCUGAAUCAGUGUGUGUGUUAGUGGAAGCGUCUGGAAAGGCGCGCGAUACAGGGUGACAGCCCCGUACACAAAAAUGCACAUACUGUGAGCUCGAUGAGUAGGGCGGGACACGUGGUAUCCUGUCUGAAUAUGGGGGGACCAUCCUCCAAGGCUAAAUACUCCUGACUGACCGAUAGUGAACCAGUACCGUGAGGGAAAGGCGAAAAGAACCCCGGCGAGGGGAGUGAAAAAGAACCUGAAACCGUGUACGUACAAGCAGUGGGAGCACGCUUAGGCGUGUGACUGCGUACCUUUUGUAUAAUGGGUCAGCGACUUAUAUUCUGUAGCAAGGUUAACCGAAUAGGGGAGCCGAAGGGAAACCGAGUCUUAACUGGGCGUUAAGUUGCAGGGUAUAGACCCGAAACCCGGUGAUCUAGCCAUGGGCAGGUUGAAGGUUGGGUAACACUAACUGGAGGACCGAACCGACUAAUGUUGAAAAAUUAGCGGAUGACUUGUGGCUGGGGGUGAAAGGCCAAUCAAACCGGGAGAUAGCUGGUUCUCCCCGAAAGCUAUUUAGGUAGCGCCUCGUGAAUUCAUCUCCGGGGGUAGAGCACUGUUUCGGCAAGGGGGUCAUCCCGACUUACCAACCCGAUGCAAACUGCGAAUACCGGAGAAUGUUAUCACGGGAGACACACGGCGGGUGCUAACGUCCGUCGUGAAGAGGGAAACAACCCAGACCGCCAGCUAAGGUCCCAAAGUCAUGGUUAAGUGGGAAACGAUGUGGGAAGGCCCAGACAGCCAGGAUGUUGGCUUAGAAGCAGCCAUCAUUUAAAGAAAGCGUAAUAGCUCACUGGUCGAGUCGGCCUGCGCGGAAGAUGUAACGGGGCUAAACCAUGCACCGAAGCUGCGGCAGCGACGCUUAUGCGUUGUUGGGUAGGGGAGCGUUCUGUAAGCCUGCGAAGGUGUGCUGUGAGGCAUGCUGGAGGUAUCAGAAGUGCGAAUGCUGACAUAAGUAACGAUAAAGCGGGUGAAAAGCCCGCUCGCCGGAAGACCAAGGGUUCCUGUCCAACGUUAAUCGGGGCAGGGUGAGUCGACCUCUAAGGCGAGGCCGAAAGGCGUAGUCGAUGGGAAACAGGUUAAUAUUCCUGUACUUGGUGUUACUGCGAAGGGGGGACGGAGAAGGCUAUGUUGGCCGGGCGACGGUUGUCCCGGUUUAAGCGUGUAGGCUGGUUUUCCAGGCAAAUCCGGAAAAUCAAGGCUGAGGCGUGAUGACGAGGCACUACGGUGCUGAAGCAACAAAUGCCCUGCUUCCAGGAAAAGCCUCUAAGCAUCAGGUAACAUCAAAUCGUACCCCAAACCGACACAGGUGGUCAGGUAGAGAAUACCAAGGCGCUUGAGAGAACUCGGGUGAAGGAACUAGGCAAAAUGGUGCCGUAACUUCGGGAGAAGGCACGCUGAUAUGUAGGUGAAGUCCCUCGCGGAUGGAGCUGAAAUCAGUCGAAGAUACCAGCUGGCUGCAACUGUUUAUUAAAAACACAGCACUGUGCAAACACGAAAGUGGACGUAUACGGUGUGACGCCUGCCCGGUGCCGGAAGGUUAAUUGAUGGGGUCAGCGCAAGCGAAGCUCUUGAUCGAAGCCCCGGUAAACGGCGGCCGUAACUAUAACGGUCCUAAGGUAGCGAAAUUCCUUGUCGGGUAAGUUCCGACCUGCACGAAUGGCGUAAUGAUGGCCAGGCUGUCUCCACCCGAGACUCAGUGAAAUUGAACUCGCUGUGAAGAUGCAGUGUACCCGCGGCAAGACGGAAAGACCCCGUGAACCUUUACUAUAGCUUGACACUGAACAUUGAGCCUUGAUGUGUAGGAUAGGUGGGAGGCUUUGAAGUGUGGACGCCAGUCUGCAUGGAGCCGACCUUGAAAUACCACCCUUUAAUGUUUGAUGUUCUAACGUUGACCCGUGAUCCGGGUUGCGGACAGUGUCUGGUGGGUAGUUUGACUGGGGCGGUCUCCUCCUAAAGAGUAACGGAGGAGCACGAAGGUUGGCUAAUCCUGGUCGGACAUCAGGAGGUUAGUGCAAUGGCAUAAGCCAGCUUGACUGCGAGCGUGACGGCGCGAGCAGGUGCGAAAGCAGGUCAUAGUGAUCCGGUGGUUCUGAAUGGAAGGGCCAUCGCUCAACGGAUAAAAGGUACUCCGGGGAUAACAGGCUGAUACCGCCCAAGAGUUCAUAUCGACGGCGGUGUUUGGCACCUCGAUGUCGGCUCAUCACAUCCUGGGGCUGAAGUAGGUCCCAAGGGUAUGGCUGUUCGCCAUUUAAAGUGGUACGCGAGCUGGGUUUAGAACGUCGUGAGACAGUUCGGUCCCUAUCUGCCGUGGGCGCUGGAGAACUGAGGGGGGCUGCUCCUAGUACGAGAGGACCGGAGUGGACGCAUCACUGGUGUUCGGGUUGUCAUGCCAAUGGCACUGCCCGGUAGCUAAAUGCGGAAGAGAUAAGUGCUGAAAGCAUCUAAGCACGAAACUUGCCCCGAGAUGAGUUCUCCCUGACUCCUUGAGAGUCCUGAAGGAACGUUGAAGACGACGACGUUGAUAGGCCGGGUGUGUAAGCGCAGCGAUGCGUUGAGCUAACCGGUACUAAUGAACCGUGAGGCUUAACCUU